RNAcentral lists this long non-coding RNA (655 nucleotides) under Citrus sinensis (sweet orange). RNAcentral's name for it is "long non-coding RNA (CSIN_LNC004790)". The record is from RNAcentral. Lineage: Eukaryota; Viridiplantae; Streptophyta; Magnoliopsida; Sapindales; Rutaceae.
GAAGGUGACCAAGGCAUUCCAUCUAAAUCAAGCAUCCUUUUAGAAUCCCAUCCCUUUUAAUUUCUUUGUACCUGAGUGAUAGAAAAAACAUACAGAAUAACUGAGAUAUUAUUAUUUCAUAGAACGACGUUGGUUUCCCACUCUUCAACGACGCUACAUCUCCUACUGUAAUUGCCUCAACUAUUAUUUUAAAUUUUUUAAAAUUUUCCUCUUUCUCUUCAACAAAAUUAUUAGAUGAGACGAUCCCCAAUAGUUCGAUUUAUAGUAAUAAAAAAAAUGAUGCACAUAGAGAGAGAGAGAGAGAAUGAUCUGACUCAUAAAUAAAGUUCCUCAAAUUCCUCUCCAAUAAUGUAUGUGGAAAGUAGAGGGCUUUCAAUGGAGGAGCUGAUAAUGUGUCAAUUUGAUUACAAAUAAAUCAAAACGACAAAUGGGGCUGACCUAGGCAGCGACCUGAGAAUGCAUUGGUGCAUCAACGAUAGGACUCACCUUGGUGGCUGCUGAGAUGGCACAUCAAUCCUAGGGUUGUGAUAAAGUGGGCAACAAUCAAUGUUGGCUAAGAGUAUAUUUUGCUUGAAUGUUGAUUCUGGAGAGAGAUGAGAGAGCGAUGGAAGGAAUUUGGGUAUUUGAGAGAGAUAUUCUAAAGUAAAGAAAUAAA